Gallus gallus (chicken) is the source of this 4741-nucleotide long non-coding RNA. Lineage: Eukaryota; Metazoa; Chordata; Aves; Galliformes; Phasianidae. The record is from Ensembl.
CUCAGCCUGCACUCCAGAUCAGGCCAUGCUCUCAGCUACCAUAUUCCUUUGAUGGCAUUUGGAAGCUGCUGGUGCCCAGCAUCAAUUAGAGCAGAGAGGGCAAUAAGGGCAGCAGGAGCUCCCUUUGCUUCAGGGGUGUCUCCAGGAGUGGAGGUGCAGAGCAGGUGUGUUCAAUUUGUGCCUGAAGUUGUUGUGUUGUUGAGUUGGUACAAUGGAAUAAAAGUUGAAAUGCUCUGGGUAAAGUGCUGCAGAAGACUGCCAGUGGUAUUUUUUUUAGUUUGUUGAGUAGGUAUGAAUUGUAGGUAGGUAAGUAGGUAGAGUGUGCAAGCUUUUUUCAGCCUAAGUUUAAUGCAACAGCUGUGCUGCAUUAGCUUUGCUCUGUAGGCACCUGUGAGCUGCUGGGAGGGGCUGUGAAGCUGUGCCACUGCCUUAAAGGUGCAGGAAGGGUGGGCUUUGUGGUGUGAAUCUCUUUCUCUUCUCCAGGUCUGUGAUGUGAGUUGAGAUGUCCUAUCUGCAAGUUCCCCCCAGCUGCGUGAGCUUGCAGAAGAACCAGUUCUGCUCAGCUUUGGCUUUUGAAGAGAAGAAAUGAUUGCUGGAGAAGCUCAGCUGGGCAGCAGGCUGCUGCAUUGGGCUGCUGCGUUGGGCAUGGUGUAGGAAACGAAACACACCACGGUGUGGGAUUGCUGCCCUGGGCGAUGGGAGAACUUGGCUUUAAAAGAAAAGCAGAGAUUUCUUUUCCCCCAUCCAUUUGUGCAGAAAAACCCUCUGAGCGGGGCGUGAUUUCCUCCCUUGGCUGAGAUCACCUGCCUCUGGCUCUCAGCUACCAGCAGCCCGGGUGUCCAAAAUAAGAUGUGGGCACUCAUUGUGGUUGCUGGGCAAAGCUUGCUCUUCCUCAGACCCAGCCCAGGAGUAUGUUGGGGUGUGGUGUGGUGCAGAGGGUGCUCUGUAAGACGUGGGCACUUUGGGCUGGAGGGCUGGGAGCAGCCUGUGGGAUGGGAAGGAGUACACAGCCAUGGACGACCUCAAUGGGACAGAAGGCCUCCCAGACCCUGCAUUGAGGAGAAUGAGCUCAAGCUGGAGGAAGGGCAGCUCUCACCUGCAGAGGCCUCUUCUGAAAAGAAGGGUGCCCCAAGAGUAGGGCCUAAAAUGGGUGAAUCUGCCACUAACUGUCCAUUCCCCAGAGGAAUCAGAAAGAAGUCAGGAUUUUGUUUUCUUUCUGCUUUCAAACUCCAUUGGGAUUUUGUGUGUAGCCCCACUAAGUUAAUGAACACAGAUGGGUGCCAAUAGGAGUUUACUUUGUGGCUAGGGAUUCAGGAAGAGCUCCAGAGCAGACAAUCCUCCCACCAUUUGCAUCGAAUCAUAGGCUCUUAGAGCCAUUAUGGUUGGAAAAGACCUCUAAGAUCAUCCAGUCCAACCCAGCCCACCCCCACCAUGCCCACUGACUACGUCCCUCAGUGCCACAUCUCUAAGGACGGUGACUCCACCACCUCCAUCACCACUCUUUCUGAGAAGAAGUAUUUCCUCAUAUCCAGGCUGAACGCUGACCUGCAUGGAGCCACCACAUCUUCAGCAGCUCUCCUACUGCAGCUUCUUUUUGUAAUGAAAAACUAUGGGAUUUGCAAAGGAAGAUGAGACUGUCUUCUAUCUGAGCAACAUACUGUAGCAAAUCUGUGGUAGCUCAGUGUUCACCAAGUGGAGAGCACCAGGGCUCCCAGACAGGAGGAUGGAGCUCACUACAUCAAGCACAGCAAGCCAGGAGCUUCUUGAAUUGCUUCUGUUCUGCUGAGACUGGAAUUUGUUGGAGGCUCACCUGUGCUGACAUGACCUUGUGUAGCAGAAAUGCUAAAUCACAGCUUGAAGCAGUGAUUGAGCACCUGGUGGGAAGGCAGGGCCAACCCAGGGGAGCUCAGGUGUGUGCAAUGCAGCUGAGUGACCGGAAUGGGUGAAGCCAGGAUCCACCCCUUUCCAGACCUCAUUUAAGGGUUGGCAGUGAAGGCAAGGGUAUCUUCCUGGAGAUCCCUGCAUAUCUGAGGCCUUUUGAAGGGCUGGGAGGUCCCUGAGUGAUUGCACCUGGACGUGUGUUACCUGCUGCUUCUCCACCCUUGAGAUGUAUGAUCACAUCAGGACAACUGGUCAGGAUGUGCUACAGAGCAGCAUUUUUAGUCUCCUUGACUUAGCAGAAAUGACAGAUGGCUGCGGCUGGGAUGGAGCCGUUCCUUUCCCUGCUCAGAAGAGGGCAAUCAGCAAAACCUCAGGGCAGCUCCAAGGGACAUGAGAGUCUUGCUUUACACACGCACAGAGCAGCCCUGGAAGGAGUGAAAUGAAGAACUGUCAAGGAAAGUUGGAGGAGUUGUGCUGUCCCAAGCGUGCAGGCACGGUGCUUGUAAAACCACAGGGUGUGAGCGUGGUAUUAGCAAGCCUUUGUGUCAUCUCCAGGGGAGAGCUGAGUCCCAUUGAAGGCAGAGGACAGACGUCAUUCAGAGGGAUUUCCUGACGGGAUAUUUCAGGAGCCCUGUCACUGAGCCCUAGGGCCUGCAGCAGGAUGGAGGGCUGAGGAUGGAUUUGUUUAAAAGGCAGAAGCCCUGCAGCCAAGACACCCAAACCCUGCUCAUUGCCUUGGCCUUGCUGCAGCAGGUAGCCAAGCAGCUGGCUGUGUGAGUGUGCGGCGCGUGGCUCAGCACAACCUGUGCUCCAGAGGACGUCCAGGAGAGAUUAGCAGGAGGAAAUCUGUAGCUAAUGGGAGUUUCCAUUUAUGAGGAGAUUCUACAGCUCUUCCAGCAUUCCCCUGCACUGGUCCCAGGAGCUGAAUUUAUGACAAGAAGUUUCAAAGCGAGCUGUAUAAGGAAGAAGCAAGUCUGAGAUCCUGCUCUGCCCAUGCCAGGAGGUCCCAGGUUCCUUCCAAGCUUAUGCCCAGGAUUUGGUUUCAGCAGUAAUCUAAGGGAAGUGGUUGGCUCUCUCCUGCCUGUGCCUGACCCCUGUCCAACAGCACGAAGGAGAAUGAAGAGGAUGGACUUUGCUGGAGGCAGGAACCUCUCCAAGGUGUGGAUCUGCUGCAUGUGCCCAUCUGGAAUUUUUAACGCCGUGAGGCUCAAGGGACGUCUUGACUGUUCCUCAUUCCAACUCUUGCUGGAUUACCUGUCCAAGGCUCCAUAAUUGCAGCUGCUGCUGAGAUAACAAAGUCUGCUUUGGGACCAGCAGUGCAGCCCCUGGGAAGCACUGAUCCCCCUCUGUGUCAGGAUGUGCUGUCUGCAGGGCAGCUGAGUGAGUCAAGGGCUGGAUUUGCCUUGCUCUGAACUGAACAAAUACAGCAAGGCACAGCCUGCUCCAAGCUUCUUUAGGUCCAGCAAGAGACAGCAAAAUUCACUGGUUUCACUUUGAGGUGUGAUGGAAGACAGAUCCUAUCAGAAACUUCUCUGUGUCAUCUGGUUGGCCAAGACACCUACAGACUGCCGUGGCUGAGUGCUCUGUGUUUGCUUUGAAGUGCCCCAUGCAUCUGCAGGCUCUGCUCCUCACUCCUUCCUGAUGCCCUCCGCGGUGACACCUGUCAGGGUGAGCAGCUUCUAUCACCGUCCUCUGCGUGGAGAGGCUCCCUCGCUGCUCUGAGGGUCCAUUUGUUUCCUCUUAUCACAGCCUAAUGAUUUGGCCAAGGAAAAUUUCUGCCCAUCCUGGGGACAGUGGCUGAGAGAUCGGGAGAACCUGGCCUCCAGGAUGGAGUUUGCAAUGUAAUAACCUCAUUCUGCUACAAAUGCUGAGGCUUCACGACUCAUCUGUCUGCCAGGCAGAGCAUUUCCUGACCUUUUUAAGAAAGCUGGGGAUGGAAAAGCAGCCGGACUGGAGGGUGUCCCGUCUGCCUGGAACCAAAACAGCAUCGCUGAGAGUUCUGGAGGGGAGGAAACUUGCAGCUCAGAGCCAGCAGUGAGGGCUGAGAGCUUGCAUGACCUCCCCUUCCUCCAGAGAGGGAAGAUUGGACUGGCUGCUAUUAUAUUUGAGCAUGUAAGUGAUGAUGUUCUCCUUCAAAUAUCUCAUCAGCUGAUAAAUGCAAAUCCAGAAGAAGCUGAUGCUUGCAUAGGGAGCUGGAUGUCCAGGGCUGCUUUCUCUGAUGGUGUUGGACAUGAGCAGUGGGUAUCCCACAUUUUGCACUAAGGACAUUGGAGGUGUGAUGGCAGAAGGCACUGCUUCCAUCAGUGUUUUCGGUGGCAAGUUUGAGAAUGGAAACCUAAAACACUGCAGCUUCUCUGGUGCUGUCCCAGGUCAGGUGUCCUAGGUCAGAGAUGUCUCAUGGGAGCAUGGCUGUCCCCUGUUAGUGAAAGAUGUCCUUGUUUCAGCUGGAAUAGAAUGGAUUGUCACCUAGUAGCUGGGAUGGUGUUCUGUUUUGGAUUUAGGAUGAUCCUUCUGGUCUCUUCCAACUUGGGAUAUUCUGUGAUUCAUAAUGCGGGUAACACACCAGUGGUUUUGUUGGUGCAGAGAGGUGCUGCAUGGAGCCAAGGGCAUCUCAGCUUCUCUUGUUGCCCUGCCAGUGAGGGGAUGGGGGGCACAAACUGCUGAGAGGGGACAGCACUACAACAGCAAACCAAAAGGAUAUCCCAUACCAUAUGGCAUCAUGCUGAGUCUGUUCUCUCCCCCAUCUCUUUCGGAGGAGUGAUCAGACUGCUGUAUGGUGCUGAGCAGCCCACCAAGUCCAAGCCACAGAGGUGGUACGGGACACACAGACACACACCCGACACAGGACAGGGCUGACAGG